Molecule: long non-coding RNA, 490 nt
Organism: Paramisgurnus dabryanus
Lineage: Eukaryota; Metazoa; Chordata; Actinopteri; Cypriniformes; Cobitidae
Source: RefSeq, a predicted model, not a curated record
GAUGAAUUAGUGGAAAUCUCAGCAUUCAAAUUUUACAUCUUUCUGAUUGUGUUUGUGGUUCAAAUAUUCAUUAUAGCAGCUAUCUGGGUGUGGUUUUGCCUGAAAAAAAUCUUAUCUGAAAAAACAAAUUAAUGUCAAAAACAAAGAGACUCCAACAUCCAUUAUGUUUUCAUGCACAUCUGCUGUCCCUCCAACAGAACCGGUGAUGUGAACUGAAUGAUAAAGUGAUAUCAUAUACAGUGGUAUAAAAUAAUAAUAAAAUAAUAUUGUGUUAAAAUCUUUUGUUCAGUAAAAUUCGUCAUUAGAUUUUCUUUGUAUAGUCUACUGUCAGGAUCCUGUCAGAAUCUUGUUUUGAAUUAUUCUAGUCUUUGUUACAGGGUUCUGGCAGUACCAUGCUUAAUGUGGGAAAUGCGUGGUUUUAGUAUUUGUUUAUUCUGACCACGCUUUUCCCUGGUCUUGUCACUUUUUUACCUGUUCCCUUACUUGUGAU